RNAcentral lists this ribosomal RNA (253 nucleotides) under uncultured bacterium. RNAcentral describes it as "partial 16S ribosomal RNA". It matches the Rfam family "Bacterial small subunit ribosomal RNA", at positions 524 to 776 of the family's 1533-position model. The record is from RNAcentral.
UACGUAGGUGGCAAGCGUUGUUCGGAAUUAUUGGGCGUAAAGAGCGUGUAGGCGGCCUGACAGGUCUGCUGUGAAAACUCGAGGCUCAACCUCGAGAUGUCGGCGGAAACCGUCUGGCUAGAGUCCGGAAGAGGAGAGUGGAAUUCCAGGUGUAGCGGUGAAAUGCGUAGAUAUCUGGAGGAACACCGGUGGCGAAGGCGGCAUCCUGGACCGGUAUUGACGCUGAGGCGCGAAAGCCAGGGGAGCAAACGGG